RNAcentral lists this ribosomal RNA (253 nucleotides) under uncultured bacterium. Its description in RNAcentral is "partial 16S ribosomal RNA". It matches the Rfam family "Bacterial small subunit ribosomal RNA", at positions 524 to 776 of the family's 1533-position model. The record is from RNAcentral.
UACGUAGGGCGCGAGCGUUGUCCGGAAUCAUUGGGCGUAAAGAGCUCGUAGGUGGCCUGUCGCGUCGGCUGUGAAAACUCGGGGCUCAACUCCGAGCUUGCAGUCGAUACGGGCAGGCUAGAGUUCGGCAGGGGAGACUGGAAUUCCUGGUGUAGCGGUGAAAUGCGCAGAUAUCAGGAGGAACACCGGUGGCGAAGGCGGGUCUCUGGGCCGAUACUGACACUGAGGAGCGAAAGCGUGGGGAGCGAACAGG